AAAGGCGAACUCAGGCGCAAAACUCACGCUGAAAUAGUCUAAUCCAAUGCUCUUAACACGGUGCGGCCUGGAUCAGUGGGGUUCUCACCAUCAAUUUGCCCUUUCGGAUCAGACACAAAGCCGAGUAUCAGCUCCAGUAAGGCCUUUAAAGUUUACUUGGAAAGGUAAGUCAGAACCCAUUUCACAGACUGGGAAACCUGGUCCAUUUCCUAGGAGGUGGUUGGGGCUACUGUUAGAAUGCUCCCAUAGUGAUGCAUGUGGGUGCAUGUGAGAUUUAAAUGAGAUACCGUGGGCAAACACCUAGCACCGUGAAUUCCCUGGUGAUCCGGCGGUUGGGACUUGCUGCUUUUACUGCUGACAGCGCAGGUUCAGUCCCUGGUCGGGGAACUAAGAUCCUGCAAGCCAUGUGGGGUGGCUAGGGGGACAAUAAAAGCUCCCAUAACAUCAAGGUGGGCUUCCAGGAUGGCUCAGCCUAAAGAAAAAGUGAAAGUGAAGUCGCUCAGUUGUGUCCAACUCUUUGCAACCCCAU
RNAcentral lists this long non-coding RNA (529 nucleotides) under Capra hircus (goat). RNAcentral describes it as "lncRNA (ENSCHIG00010019781.1)". Lineage: Eukaryota; Metazoa; Chordata; Mammalia; Artiodactyla; Bovidae. The record is from RNAcentral.